RNAcentral lists this ribosomal RNA (496 nucleotides) under uncultured bacterium. Its description in RNAcentral is "partial 16S ribosomal RNA". It matches the Rfam family "Bacterial small subunit ribosomal RNA", at positions 28 to 507 of the family's 1533-position model. The record is from RNAcentral.
GAUGAACGCUGGCGGCGUGCCUAAUACAUGCAAGUCGAGCGAACAGACGAGGAGCUUGCUCCUCUGACGUUAGCGGCGGACGGGUGAGUAACACGUGGAUAACCUACCUAUAAGACUGGGAUAACUUCGGGAAACCGGAGCUAAUACCGGAUAACAUGUUGAACCGCAUGGUUCAACAGUGAAAGACGGUCUUGCUGUCACUUAUAGAUGAUCCGCGCCGCAUUAGCUAGUUGGUAAGGUAACGGCUUACCAAGGCAACGAUGCGUAGCCGACCUGAGAGGGUGAUCGGCCACACUGGAACUGAGACACGGUCCAGACUCCUACGGGAGGCAGCAGUAGGGAAUCUUCCGCAAUGGGCGAAAGCCUGACGGAGCAACGCCGCGUGAGUGAUGAAGGUCUUCGGAUCGUAAAACUCUGUUAUUAGGGAAGAACAAAUGUGUAAGUAACUAUGCACGUCUUGACGGUACCUAAUCAGAAAGCCACGGCUAACUACGUG